This is a long non-coding RNA of Falco peregrinus (peregrine falcon), 2699 nucleotides long. RefSeq lists it as uncharacterized. Lineage: Eukaryota; Metazoa; Chordata; Aves; Falconiformes; Falconidae. The record is from RefSeq and is a predicted model, not a curated record. The transcript has 3 exons.
CUCAUGUUUAGCUCACUCGCUUAUGUCUUACCCCAAGAUGUGCUUGAAUCUUGAAGCCACAGCCCAGAAGACAAAUCAGAACCAAGGAAGCAUUGCAGACAGACAGACUGACUUCCAGUUCCUUUGUGCUCAGUAGCAUGGGUACGUUAGGAGCUUGUUUCAAGAAAAGAAGACCUAUGAAGUCAGAGAGCUGGGAUGGGAUUCAUCCAGCUGGAGCCAUCACCUGGGCUCCCCCUUCAUCACAAAAAACAGAACAGCAUCUCCUGAAGCAGCCUGCUGUAACCAAAGUGCAUCUCAGAAAGGUGAUGUGAUGACCUUCAGGUGGGGUUAUUGCGCUGUGCGGAUCACGUCCUAACGGAGAGGCUGGGCUGCGCAGCCCCCACCCCACCCCCGCAGCCGCCGAGAUCACCUCCUCUCACAUUCUUGAUCAGCUUCCCUGUGGCAACAGCAGCAGCGGAUCACAUGGAAAAGUAAUAUUAGGAAAGUAUUUAAUGUAUUUAUAGCUGUCUUUUAAUGACAUUUACCAGCUGGAAAGGAGGAGGCCUGCCAGCACCGAGUGAUCAAUCAGCUUUGAGGAACUCCAGCAAGUGCUCUCAAGACCACCAGCAAGCCUUCCUCCAGCCCUGGCUCCAUCUUCUCCCCUUCAGCUGCAGAUCUUUGGGGCAAAUCAGGCUGACAGAGUGUUUGCCUGGCCCUUAUCACAGCGGGACCUUGAAUUUAGCCCCGGGCUGAGGCUGCUACAGCAUACAAAUAAAUAGUGCUAAUUCUUAGAUCACGGUUUAGAAAUUUCUGUUCUGCGCUAGCCCGGCAAUCUGUGAGCAUGGGAUUCAUUAUGAACAGCCCAUAUAAUAAAUUCAGUGUGCCAAUCUGUUUUUCCAGAGGACAAGAAGAGAGACUACUGAAGCCUGAGCUUGGCCACUGUUUGCAGCAGACCACCAGAUUUCUCCUUACAACCCAACGCCAUCAGACGGCUCUGGCUGUUGCGGGAGGAGUUACCUGCACUUGGAAAAUUGCAAAGAUCAACCCAUAUGGAAAAGAUCAUGAUUGAAAGGUCCAAGUAAAGCAAUUUUCUGCUUCCCAAAAGAUGUGGAUAUAAAUAGAACAGUGCCUGAAAAUGAGCAGGCAGAAAUGAAAUACAAAUGCAGAGAGCAAGUCUUCUAAAGCAAAUAAAGAUUUUACUGUAUUUGUCCUCAAACAGGGUGUGCCAGACCCAUCAGGCAAUGCAAAUUUGCCCAAGAAGGCAAACAGCACCCUGGCUUGUGUCAGAAACUGUGGCCAGCAGGGCCAGGGCAGUGACCAUCCCCCUGUGCUCUGCACUGGUGAGGCUGCACCUCGAACACUGUGUUGGGGUUUGGGCUCUUUGUUUCAAAAGGGACAUAGAGGUGCUGGAGCAUGUCCAGAGAAGGGCAGUGGAGCUGGGGAAGGGUCUGGAGAACAAAUCUUAUCAGCAGAGGCUGAGGGAACUGGGGUUCUUCAGUCUGGAGAGGAAAAGUCAGGGGGGACCUUAUUGCUCUCUACAGCUGUCUGAGAGGAGGCUGUAGGCAUGUCGGGAUUGGUCUCUUCUCCUAAGUAACAAGCAACAGAACAAGAGGGAAUAGUCUCAAGUUAUGCCAGGGGAGGUUUAGAUUGGAUAUUAGGAAAAAUUUCUUCCCUGAAAGGGUGGUGAAGCAUUGAAACAGGCUGUCCAGGGAGGUGGUGGAACCACCAUUCCUGGAGGUGCUUAAAGAACAGGUAGAUGCGGUGCUUAGGGACCUGGUUUAGUGAUGGACUUGGCAGUCCAGGGUUAACAGUUGGACUUGAUGAUCUUAAAUGUCUUUCCAACCUAAAUGAUUCUAUGAUUCUUUCUCUACCCUGCUGCCCCAGCUCCCAUGACACGUAUGAGAGGCUGGACACCAUCACUUUGCGCAGUAAUGUUGAGCCAUUAUUGUGCCUAAGUUCAGGCUGACCUAAAGUCGUAACUAAGAAGUGCAUGUUCCCGUGACCCCAUUAUCCCCAGGAAGCCCUGCCCCACCACUGCAAUCCUGAGCAUCCAUGUACACUCCUGAAGAGAGUCCCUCAGGACACACUCCGAAGUUGCUCUCUGAGCAUCAUGCCAACCUUUUGUUUUAACAUCAAGGGGUCUUCAGCCAUCUUAUCUGUUACUCUAAUUGCUCUGACAAGCUGUGGAAAUACACGUCAUUUAAUGAGUAAACCUAUAAAAUAAUCAUUUGCUGUCUGUGCACUUGAUGCUCAGAAUCUGCUGAAAUUUCAUGUAGGAAAAAGCUCCACUGGGCUUGAAGGAAUGAUUUUUUCAUUUCUCCCUUUUUCUCUGAAAAGGAAUUUUACAGCUACUGUAGGAGUUCAUGUCUCUCAAGACUUCAAGUGACCAUCGCUAUUUUCUAUCCCCCUCCCCACCUGUACAAAUUGUAUCUAAAACAUUUUGCAUCUUGUUUGUAAUUGUUAUAUUUGAAGUUUUUAGUUUAAUUUCUUUCUUUUGAUAGCUGAAAUUCACGUAUGGAAUAAAGGGUUACAAAUGCUCACCAUUUACAAGACAUGUAAUGACAGCGAGGAGGCAGGAGAUUGCUUCAUCAGCUCUCUGCACUAAUAUUAUUUAAGUAAUAGAGCUUAAAAACCCCAUCCUCUUAUAACUGCAUAACCUUGAAUGGACACAACAGGAGGCCUACAGAAAUCUGUAAUGCUGAAAGCUGUUGGAUGAAACA